This 10352-nucleotide long non-coding RNA is filed under the name Podarcis lilfordi (Lilford's wall lizard). Lineage: Eukaryota; Metazoa; Chordata; Lepidosauria; Squamata; Lacertidae. The record is from RNAcentral.
AGCAGUGGCCCUGGUGGGAGUUUUCCGUGCAAGCUGUUUGUUUCGGCAGAUGAACAGUUUACUGUUUAGCUCCGUCAUGUCACCUGCUGAAGUACUGGAACCGGCACCCUUCUCAAUAGAACAGCUUGUAUAGGGAACAUUUCCAAAGCCAUCAUCAAACAAAAGGGGAAGCUAGCUAUGAACUACACGGAAGAUAAAAGUCACACAGUAUGCGUGAGUGAAGAAAAUAAGAAUAGUAAGCAAUAGCUGGCACAGUGACAUUUGUCUGAGAUAGGAUAGACAGUAAAUCCCAUUAAGAAAGCGAACAGAGGAAAAUAAUGUAACAAAGCAUCAAACUGUGAGUCCUUUUUGGCUUAUCCUGAAGAGCAUCAAACAAAGCUCUGUGCACAGUUUGCAAGAACUGUUUUUUUUCUUUUAAAUCUCAGCACCUUUCCUGAGGAAAUGUAUUUUCAAUUAAUAACUCUCCACCUCAUUGCCGUGACUUGUGUGAGGUGCUUUUCUGCAGAAAGUGGUUAGAUCGCUGGUGUACACUCAAAAACUAUUAGCAAAGCUGCCCCAAAGUGCAGGGCACAGCUUGAUCAGCUAAUUGGACUUUGAGAACACUUAGGAAUUAAUGGACAACCAGGGAGAUCACAGGGAUUGUUGGCAUCAAGUGUGGUUUUCUAGGACAAAGUCUGACCAAGUGGAAUCAGGGCCUGUGUACAAACACUUCAGCUCCCUCCAGCAACAGAGAACCUUGUGAAUUUUGCUUGAAAUUUAUUAUCAGCUUAUGAUACCCUACCAGUUGGUUGGUGAGGACAAGAAAGACUUGUCAGUCACCAGCAACUCCUGCAGCCAAGCUGGUGCCAAAUGUUUUGCUCUGCUUUCCUUUGGACCCCAUCAGCAAGGCCAAGAAAAGGGCUUUGCCAUCUAGGCAGCCCAGAACCUCCAUACACCCUGAAGUGUAGGUGAGUUCCCAUGAGGCAAGACACAGUGAUAACAGCAAGAAACUUUACUGAACUACAGAACUGGACAACAAGGGCAAAGCAACUGCUUAUAUACAUUUUUUAAGGCCUGGGCCACUCCACUCCCAACAUGAUUAGCUGUCUAAACUUCCAAGCUGCGAAUCAUGACUCGGAGCUUAAUGGCCAAUGGCAGAGGCCCAAAUCCUGAAAUAUUCUGUGAUUGGAUAUCAUGUAUCGAAUCAGAACACAGGGGCUCAGAAUCCUUAGUCCAGACUCAAGCUCAGGCAAACAUAGGCCACUGAAUACAUAACACACAUUGCCCAGGGCUUCACCGGUGGAGGAAGAGGAGUGCGGGGGGAGCAAACCGCCCCCGGCAGCGUGAUCCCGGUGGGGUGCCAUCACGGCUGCCCCCCCACCCACACUGGGCGCCACGCCCCUGCAGGGUGUAUGAAAGUGUGAUGGGGGGAAUCUCAUUGUUUUCAGGAGGGGUGGAGAAUUAAACAAAUUUUCAGGACUGGAGGAACUUAGCAGUAAAGGUGGGCCCACCAUGUUUGAUUUCACAUUUCUUAAUAUAAAUUUUUCUGGCCUAUUGAAACAGAUGGAAACAGCAGCUGUCAGUGGUCAGCCAGUCUGCCAUGUCCUCCCAUAAUGCUACCUUUGAACAACACUACAACAUGAUGCAGUUGCAUGACAGAUGCAUUAUGGGAGAAAAAGAUGGAGGCCCCCACUGGCCUGCCGUUGCAGUCAGAAUUAUUUCAGUUUUUAAGUGUAAAAGCAGAUGCUGCAUUCCAGGCUUUACUGAUAACAUCCUCGCCCCCCAAAAAUGUAUGCAGUUUCACAUGCCCCUCCAUGUCACCAAAGAAUGUCACCCCACUUUGGUGGCAUGGUGCUGUAAAAGUCAAAGAACAUUUUUCACCCAACACUAAUAUUUUUAUUUGUAAGCUUCCUGAAGCAAUGUGAUCGAGCAAGGGAUGGCUGAUUAGUUCCCCAAUAGUUACUGACAAGGCCAAGAACCAGCACUAAGACUCUAUAAGCUUUGUGUGGAAUUCACCUAAUGCACUCCAUCAACAGAGGCCAUGCACAAGGACUUCCACUGCACAAUGAGUCUUUCUUCCAUUCUCUCCUCCCACAGCAGCGUACUUCUUGCUGUUCUACUUACAGGUCAAGAAUAAUUUGUUUUAAAAGUCUUCUGACUGUUGGUUCACUGAGCCUGCUGCUAUUUUGUAGUCCGAUCUUUUUUAUUUUUAAAAAAGUUUCAUUGACUUAAUGCAUUUGGAUUUAGUUUUACUGUACAUCACUUUGCAUUGUUCUUUUCUCUUCAGUGCAACAUACAAGUUUAAUAUAUAAACCAUACAUAGCACUUUGCUAGCAGAAGCAGAAAUCAAAACACCACCCAAACAGCUAUCUGAAAAACUGCCACAUAAUCUCUUAACUAAAGAAGAAUUAGCAAUUUUUUUCCUUUAACUUUAACCUGUGCAUGUGAGAAAGAACAUCAGCAGCCCCCAAGGUACAGCCAUAAUUUUUAUUAUUAUGAAAGGAUUGAAUCUCUAAAACCCACGGUUUGAAAAGAAUGCAUCUAAUCCUAAAUCAUAUCCCUUCUAUCUUAAGAUAAAAUGCCUUUCAUACUAGGCGACUCUUGUAUGAAACACAUUUUUUAAAAAUGUAAGCCUCAAGUACACAAUCAUUUUUCUUUUAAUAUCGGAUAUUAAACACAAAUCUUGCAGCUAAGCUGUCAGAACUUCUGGACACACAGUCAAGGAAACUCGAGCCUAGUCACUGCUUGGGUCAUCUAUUUCAUCUCUACAAGUAUAAAACAAGGCACUGCUGCUUGCCAUGAGAUGCAUUAAUGUCACAUCCAAAGUGUUCCAAUGUCAAACUAUUUUAAUAUCUCAAGGGUGAGAUCUAGCUAAGUCAGGGUUGGGGAACUAGAUCCAGAGGGUGAGCCAGAUUCUUCUCUCCACUCCUUCACCCACUGUGUGCCAAAUUUGACAGGUAAAUGAGAACACCCACUUGUCAUAGUCACCUGACAUCAAAAUGACACCGAGCAACCUGUUUUUGCCAGUGCAAUUGAAUACCAAACUGUGUGGGCAAAAGAACAGCACUGUAUAAGCACCAAUGAUUGUUUGCUACGUGAGAGUAAACUCAAUCGGAGGAAUUUAACAUCAUGCCCUUCUGAUUGUUCCACCAGCACAAGCUAAUUGUCCCCCUCUCCUCCCCCAAUGUUCUGGAGGUUCUCCUGACCCUUCAGAGCAGACAAGGGGGAGACACAGCAGUGUGUGAGGGGGACAGCCCCAUGGGACUAGUGGGAGCCGCCACGCAGGCUCCCACCAGCAUGCUGGGUUAGCUGAACCAAGGCCACGGAAACUGAAGCUACUUAAAUCAAUUUACUUCAGGGGGCCCAUUCCGAGUAAGCUUAAAAUUGUCUACCACCCCAGUUUCUUGGGGAAACAAUAAUGGUGUUUUAUUUGUAAUCUGAGUAACCAAGAACAAAGGAUUUGAUUUCCUCAUCACACCCACAAACCCAGUGCAGCGCUUUCUCCUUUGUCCCAUUUUCUUGUAUAUAAUAGUAUUGUGAAGUCUUGCCACCCUUUCUGAUGUCUGACAUGAGUAACAGAUUAUGCAUCUCAAUAAGGUCACGCUACUGAUAGAGUAAGACAAGUUACUUUUCCCCCCUCUUUCUUUUCUCUUUCCCCCCUUUUGCUCCUUCUAAUUAAAAUUCCAGGGUCUGAAUAACUUAUCACGCCUAGAGACAGAGAUAAAUGGAUGAAUAGAUGGAAAGAUCCAUAUACCACAGGCUUGGAAUAACACUCCACGCUAGCAGACAAGAGAAGGUGGAAUUAAUAACUGUUCUGUGAAUGAUAACAAUUCUAAAAUGCCAGUAGUGCUAUGCCGCUGUACGCAAGCACUCUCUUUUGUUUGUGCAUCUGUGAUUCAGGAGAGAAAAGUUCGUUUUAAAUUCUACUCAAGGAGACAUUUUUAAAGUUUGUUCAAAAGAGCUUAUGGAAUGCUAAACAGUUCAUCUUUGUAUAGUCAAAGUCACUGCAGCAUUAGGAUGGGGACGCAGAUGCACUCUCCAAGCUAAUGUGUCUUUUGCACCACUACAAAAAAACAAGGGUUACCUUCCCUUUAAAAUGGAGGCUGGUGGUUCACUAGGGCAAAAGGGGCACUGCCCCUCCAUGCUCAGGCUGCCCUGAGCCAACCCCACUCCACUUGCCUCCUUACUUGCAACCAGUCCUGGGUGUAGCAUUAGCUGUUAUCUUCCUUCUUAGUCUCAGGGUUGCCUUUGUAGAAUUCACCAGAGAAGCGCAUGGAGACAGAGCCCAUUAGUUCCGCCUGCCAUUGGCUGCGUACAGCCAGUAGGUGCACUGUUGGCUCCCUUGCUUCCACCCUACAACAAGCCUCCAUUGCCUUCUUCUGUUAACUCUGGGCAACAGGUAAGAACCUUUUAUUUGCAUAAGGGUACAUUUCAGCCACACACACACACACAAAGUCAGAAUUUCCACCACCACCUCUCAAUCUAGGCAACUCAAAGGCAUUGUGCUAGUUUUCUACUCUUACAGCUGUAACAAACUGUGUAUUUAAAUAUGUGGGUUUGUUUCAAAUUUUGCUGCAAGCCACUUUGUGGAGGCUUUCCUCAAAAAGCAGGGCAGAAAUCCCUUAAAUAAAUAAAUAACCACAGAUCAUGGACAUGUUUCAGCAAGGCAAAAGCACUCAGUGAAGUACAUGCCAAGGCAGCAUCUGAGGACCAGAGAAUGAGGCCUGGAGAGUUUCAUUCUGGCCCCCAACCUGAGGUUCUUCACCACUGUGGAACAAGUUCAGGAGCACUUAAGCCCGCUGAAAUCAAUAGGCUUAAGCAUACCUCUGUUCACUUGUGUACUUUAAUGCUCCCUGACGGCAACAUGAGAAGUACAGAAAGAGCAGAAAUACAAGCUUCCAGCAGAAAGAACAUGGUGUGCUUGUUGUUUCUUAUGGAACGCAUCUCAGCAAAUAUUUUUUCACUGCAACCAGCCUUCUAACUAAACUGCCUACAUGCUUCUGUAUUUGACUAAGCACUUCCUUAUUCCACAAAAUAAACACUCAUUUAAUGGAUGUGUGUACUGGAGCAUUCCAAGACUUAAUGUGGCUUGUGAGUUCAAGCAUGCCUUUGUAGCCUUUUUGCCUGCUGCAAAACUUGUACUUCCAACAACAGGAAAGAUCAUUGGGGAAAAUCACUAGAAUUCAUUUCCUUCUUUCUUGUGUCAUGCCUUCAAGUUUCAUUUUUACCAACUUGCCUGGGCAAGAUUCUGAUGUAAGAAAACAACAUAGUGUUAUGAGUUUUGGGGGGAUUGGCUGAAUGCUAGGACCCCCCUUCUAACUCGUGGAAUAGCCAGGCUAGCUUCCUUGUGAGGUAAGCUCUGUGCGAGAUGGCGUGGGUGGCGCCCUUCCUUCCGCUCCCAACUGCAUGCACUAUCAAACAAUAUCAAGCAAUAUCAAAAAGGCAAUGCAUAAUUUAAACAGAAUGGCUCAUUGAAACCUUUAACCCUUCUGAAAGGCCUGGGGAAAUUAAACCUCCCCAUCUUUCCUUGGAAACAUUUAAUAAAUUAAUAAUAAUAAUAAUAAUAAUAAUUUUUAUUUAUACCCCGCCCUCCCCAGCCAAGGCCGGGCUCAGGGCGGCUAACAAGCAAUAAUAAAAACAAGUUGAAUGAUUACAACUUAAAAACAAAAUUAAAAUACAACAUUAAAAUAUUGAAACAUUAAAAUAUUAAAAUGUAGCCUCAUCGCAGGAGGAGAAAGGAAAAGAAAAAAGAAAUAGAGGGAGGGAAUCAAAUUGGCUCCAAGCCAAAGGCCAGGCGGAACAACUCUGUCUUACAGGCCCUGCAGAAAGAAAUCAGAUCCUGCAGGGCCCUGGUCUCAUGAGGCAGAGCAUUCCACCAGGCCGGAGCCAGGGUUGAAAAGGCCCUGGCUCUGGUUGAAGCCAAUCUAACUUCCUUAGGGCCCAGGACCACUAGGGUGUUGCUAUUUAUGGACCUUGAGGCUCUCCAUGGGGCAUACCGGGAGAGGCGAUCCCGUAGGUACGAGGCUCCUAGGCCGUGAAGGGCUUUAAAGGUCAAAAGCAGCACCUUAAAUCUGACCCUGUACUCCACCGGGAGCCAGUGCAGCUGGAAAAGCACUGGGUGAAUAUGCUCAAUUAAGCAUAUCUCUUAAAUCAAUUAAGAGAUGCUAUUUAAGAGGUCUCUAGAAAGCUAUUCAUGACUAUUCCCCCAGCCAAAAUCAACAGGAAGCAAAGAAAUAUAAAACAUGUAAUCAAAGGAGGCAAGAGGGUCUGUAAAGCCUCACCUGCACUUUACCUGUCCACACUGGACACUGCAUUUAAUUGGGAGGGAAUUGCCAUGAAUCAGGUCUAAGAAAGCAUAGAGUGGCAUCCAGCUAAAUAACUGUACAAGCGGCAUGACAUCUGCUUGUGUAACAGGAAUUUUCCUCCCUCUCCUCCACCCGCAUGCACUGCUCACCAUCCCCACAUCUGCUUUGGGAGUUGGGAGAAGCUCUAGCACAGAAUUGCACCAGUUGAAAUCACCCUCUUGCCCAAGUUUACUUAUUGUUAUUUGGGAUUGCCAAGUCCUCACCCACAGAUGGUACCUAAAUCCUGACAUUGUCUCAGGCACUCAAUAAGAUUGCAAUGCUUACACCUAAUGGUGUAUCCUUCUAUCUGCCGCCUUGCCUGCUCAUCCGUGCCUUCCCCCAAGCCUUCUAUAGCUGGCAAAGGUAGAUGAAGGAGGGAGGAUCAUGUUAUAUUAAAGUUAAGAACAACCUGGAUAGCUCGGUUGGUUAAUAUAUUAACUAAAAUUAAAGCUAACUCUUAAGUCAUUAAUGUUCAAACCUGAAGUUGUACCUUUGCUUUAAUAAAUGGAAUUUACUGUAUAAUAAAAACUGAGCCCAUAUAGUUGCAAAAAUAUAUUUGCUGUUCUUUUUUUCUUGUAAGUUUCAUAGAAAACCAAUGUUCAGCAUGCAUAACCAUUCUACAAAUGGCUCCAUUGAUUUCAUUUUGAUUUCCACGAAUCCCUGCAGAAAUGCUCUCUGAAUAAUUUGAACUCGGUUUCAUGUGAGACUUUUAAAUUAUGCUGGCAACAUCCGACAGACUGCACAACAUGAACCAGCUUACAUCACUCUGAUGCUUGAAGGAUGAUUGCACUGUGUAUAUCUUUGCAAUCACUCGGUACAAGACAAAAUGUUCUAAACACCAAGCAUAUUCUUCCGCAGGAUUAUCUUUAUCCCCAACUCAUUUUCUUCCUCCUCCUACGACCCUUGCAGCCCAAGACAUCAAUUCUGAAGCUCUGCAUUAUGCAUACACAGAAGUAACAUUUCAUGGGGAACAUCUAAAAUUACAGCUUUCCAAAUGGCCAAUGGGAUGUUGCAUUCCUCAGGGAUGCGGUACUCAUUCAGAGAAAUUGAGGUCUCUUCCAAUAAGACACCACCAAAGGCAGGUCAGUACUUAUGCAGAGGUUCAGCCUUAUUAAACUCCAGUCCAUGAACUGCUGGUAGUCCACAAGCUCCAUGCUGGUGGUCCACAGAAAGGUUGAGGAGCAGUGAAGAAUAUCUAUACUCAACUCUGCAUCUUGAUUUCUACUCCCCCUAACGAUGGGGAUCAGGGCCAUUUGAUUAUUGGACAGGCUAAUAAGGCCCAGGUUAGGGCCCAUAAUUUUCAUAAUACAGCAGAUAAAGGGUCUCCUCUCAAUGGCAUAGCCUGGGGACUGCUUUUCAUUAUCAAUAGUUUUAACAAUGAUGAUGGUACCAAAUGAUUUUAUUUUAUUUUUUAAUGCAAGUUAUAUAUGCUCAGCUCUAUAGAACAAAAAAACAACAAUUUUUAAAGUGGUCAGCUGAGAUUCCCAGCCAUUUCCAAGCAGUUUGCGUUUUUUUAAAAGAAUGUUUCAGAAAUUCUGGAAUAAGUCACUCAAGACUGAACACAGGGAUGCCGAGGGCUGCAGUUAGAAAUGUGGUAUGCAGGGAACUUAUUGGCCAGGUGCCUCUUUCUCUGCCUCUGAUGUGCUAGAUUUUUAUGGACAGGAAAUUUCUUUUCCCUGGGAAGGCACAAUCCAUUGUAGCACCUUAGUCACUUCCUUCUCGUGCAUUUGUGCACCAGACAAUAGUUAUUCCAAACAUAUAAUGUGUUGAAGUGAACAAAACAAACAACCUUUUCCCAAACAUUCUGUAAAUUUAUACCCAACAGUAGUUUGAAGGAAAACAGGUAUUUUUGCCAAUCUUAUUUGGUGCAAUCUUCACCCCUGCAGUCCCCACAACCCAGGAUGCACUGAAUUUUCUGCAGAAAAUGAUAUAUUGUAAUGAGUCUCGUUUUGCAGGCUACAUAGAUUAUGAAAACUGUGAUCAUGCAAGCUACUCCUCUAUAAGACUUUUCACCCUACAUUUUACUGUGUGUAAUGAUGUCUCAUUGUGAUACUGCUUGAGGUUUUAUUUAUUUUUUAAUGCAUUCUGAAAAAAAUCAGUUCGGAGAGUUUUCUGUUUCUCCGUGCACCACAGAAUGCACCACUGAUCAGCCUAUUAUGGAAGUAAUGUUGCAUUUUUAUAUCAAUUAGAAGAAAUAAGGAGAAAUGAAAACAUGAUUGAUUCUUUAUUAUGGAGAAGAAAACAAUUUGCGUUGAAAGCUGCUCGGGGUGUAAGAAGGCAUUUUUCAUACACAAAGGCUACAAAGAUUGAUCCUUUGAAGCAGGUUAAGACAUGGCUGCCUUUUGAUACUUGGCAUCAUUCAAGAUGAAGCUCUGGGGGAGAAAAGGCACAAAUCUCUCCACUCAGCUGUCCAUUCAGGAAAUAGCAGCAAAAAUGCUGUGAUGCUUAUGGAAUAUACAGGAAUUGUCCUCUACUGACUAGGAUUAUGCUUUGGAUUGUUUUGACAACCCAGUUGAGCCUCUGCUACAUUCCUUGUUUUCUCCCUUAUCUACCUAAAAUACAGAAGUACCUCGUGUUAUGUACCAUCUCCCUUAUGAAUGCUGUGGGUUACGCACUCCGCUAACCCGGAAGUAGAUGCCCCUUGUUGCGACCUUUGCCGUGGGAUGCGAGCGGAAGUCGUACUCUGGCGGCGCGGCAGCAGCGGGAGGCGCCAUUAGAGAAAGUGCGCCUCAUGUUACAAGCAGUUUCCUGUUACGAACGGACCUCCGGAAUGGAUUAAGUACGUUACACGAGGUACCACUGUGUAUAUCUUAAGUUUUGUAUGACAACAAUUACAUUAUUAAAAUUAUUAUUAAACAUUAAGUUACAAGGUUGUAUGAAAAGAGUUAACAGGUUGCACACUGGGAAAGGUAAAAAGUAAGAAGGUAAAGGACCCCUGGACAGUUACGUUCAGUCAAAGGUAACUCUGGGGUUGCAGCGCUCAUCUCCCUUUCAGGCUGAGGGAGCUGGCGUUUGUCCACAGACAGCUUUCUGGGUCAUGUGGCCAGCAUUACACUUCUGGCACAACAGAACACCGUGAUGGAUACCAGAGUGCACAGAAAUGGCGUUUACCUUCCUGUCACAGCUGUACCUAUUUAUCUACUUGCACUGGUGUGCUUUUGAACUGCUAGGUUGGCAAGGGCUGAGACAGAGCAACGGGAGCUUACUCCGUUGUGGGGAUUCGAAAUGCUGACCUUCUGAUCAGCAAACCCAAGAGGCUCAGUGGUUUAGACCACAGCGCCACCUGCAUCCCUUACACUCGGAAAGGAAACAGUUACAGAAGGAUGGUCUCAUCAGAUGAAAAUUGUAACUAUUAAUGUGAAAACUGUGAAGGCCUCCCUCAACACUGAUAUUGCCUCCAAGGGAUACAGACUUUUUAUUGCAUGAUUCAUAUUAUAACUAUCAUUAUAAGAUUUUCUAAAGAUAUAUUAAGCAAAAGAAAUAAAGAAUGAAAAACUCAAAGUAGCCACUAGUUCUGAUAGCUGAAGGAAGCCUCCGUGUUCAGAGACAGUGCAUAUCGAAGAACUCCGUGCUGGGAACCAACAAAGAGGACCAUUACAACCUGCUCAGGAUAUCUAGCUAAUGGUUGCUGGAGGUAGCUGGUAUAGGUGGACCUAGCACAAUCCUUAAAUCCUCAAAUUAAAUGAAGAAUCUGUAGUUCACAAUAAAAUGCAAAGCUGAAGCUUCCCUAAAUCACAGAAUAUUUAUUUCCACAAAUAUAAAUGUUAUGUUUCUUCUGGGCACAGGAAAAAAAGACACCGACCAGCACAGAGAAGUUGGAGCAGCACACCUACCAGCAAUGGAUUUGGAAGGAAGGAAGGAAGGAAGGAAGGAAGGAAGGAAGGAAGGAAGAUACCCUUCUUUGGUAAAGGUUUAGGAUUUGAUGGUAGAAAGAGAAUGAAGAAAGUGUUUGUGAGUUAAGAUUGAUGCAUCUGUCCAUUUCAGUUUCCUCUCAGAUUCUCAUUGUCCCAGUCUUAGGUUCAAGUUUGC